Molecule: long non-coding RNA, 203 nt
Filed under: Mytilus galloprovincialis (Mediterranean mussel)
Lineage: Eukaryota; Metazoa; Mollusca; Bivalvia; Mytilida; Mytilidae
Source: RNAcentral
GUUUGGAGUCCGUAUAAGAAAAAGGAUAUUGAAUCAGUCGAAAACGUACAAAGACGGGCUACAAAAAUGCUUCCAAACUUGAAAGAUCUAUCAUAUGAAGACAGAUUAAAACUCUUGAAAUUACCAACACUUAGAUAUCGUAGACUACGAGGAGACAUGAUCGAGACGUACAAGAUUCUCAAUCACAUCUAUGACGAAAGGGC